AGAGUUUGAUCCUGGCUCAGGAUGAACGCUAGCGGGAGGCCUAACACAUGCAAGUCGAACGGGAUCCCCGAGCAAUCGGGGUGAGAGUGGCGCACGGGUGAGUAACGCGUAUGCAACCUACCUUUAACUGAGGGAUAGCCCAUAGAAAUGUGGAUUAAUACCUCAUAGUUCUUUUGGCCCGCAUGGGUCGAUAGAUAAAGCUCCGGCGGUUAAAGAUGGGCAUGCGUGACAUUAGCUAGUUGGUAAGGUAACGGCUUACCAAGGCUACGAUGUCUAGGGGUUCUGAGAGGAUGAUCCCCCACACUGGUACUGAGACACGGACCAGACUCCURCGGGAGGCAGCAGUGAGGAAUAUUGGUCAAUGGGCGCAAGCCUGAACCAGCCAUCCCGCGUGAAGGAUGAAGGCCCUAUGGGUCGUAAACUUCUUUUAUACGCCAAGAAAAUUUCGGACGUGUCCGGAACUGACGGUAGUGUAUGAAUAAGCAUCGGCUAACUCCGUGCCAGCAGCCGCGGUAAURCGGAGGAUGCAAGCGUUAUCCGGAUUCAUUGGGUUUAAAGGGUGCGUAGGCGGCUUUUUAAGUCAGUGGUGAAAUCUUGCCGCUUAACGGUAAAAUUGCCAUUGAUACUGAAGAGCUUGAGUACAUUUGAGGUAAGCGGAAUGUGUAGUGUAGCGGUGAAAUGCUUAGAUAUUACACAGAACACCAAUUGCGAAGGCAGCUUACUAAACUGUUACUGACGCUGAUGCACGAAAGCGUGGGGAGCGAACAGGAUUAGAUACCCUGGUAGUCC
This 789-nucleotide ribosomal RNA is filed under the name uncultured bacterium. RNAcentral's name for it is "bacterial SSU rRNA". It matches the Rfam family "Bacterial small subunit ribosomal RNA", at positions 8 to 796 of the family's 1533-position model. The record is from RNAcentral.